Molecule: long non-coding RNA, 245 nt
Organism: Helianthus annuus (common sunflower)
Lineage: Eukaryota; Viridiplantae; Streptophyta; Magnoliopsida; Asterales; Asteraceae
Exons: 2
Source: RefSeq, a predicted model, not a curated record
CAAGGAAGCGGUUACGAGCACGGAUGCACAAGGUAGUACGAAACACGAGGAUCAUCAAGGGAUAGAGAUCAAGGACCGAGUCACAUGAAGGAUUGUACGGGGUGUCUAUGAAUGCAAUUUGUUAUAAAUAAGUUAUGUUUUAUUCUAUAAUUGAGUUAGUUUGAUGUAUUCAAUAUAGAGGAGUUAUUUUAAAAGUGAACUUUCAAGUAAGACAUAAGGUUUAUAAUGAAAGAAAUUUUAUGGUA